AAAUUGAAGAGUUUGAUCAUGGCUCAGAUUGAACGCUGGCGGCAGGCCUAACACAUGCAAGUCGAACGGUAACAGGAAACAGCUUGCUGUUUCGCUGACGAGUGGCGGACGGGUGAGUAAUGUCUGGGAAACUGCCCGAUGGAGGGGGAUAACUACUGGAAACGGUAGCUAAUACCGCAUAACGUCGCAAGACCAAAGAGGGGGACCUUCGGGCCUCUUGCCAUCGGAUGUGCCCAGAUGGGAUUAGCUAGUAGGUGGGGUAACGGCUCACCUAGGCAACGAUCCCUAGCUGGUCUGAGAGGAUGACCAGCCACACUGGAACUGAGACACGGUCCAGACUCCUACGGGAGGCAGCAGUGGGGAAUAUUGCACAAUGGGCGCAAGCCUGAUGCAGCCAUGCCGCGUGUAUGAAGAAGGCCUUCGGGUUGUAAAGUACUUUCAGCGGGGAGGAAGGGAGUAAAGUUAAUACCUUUGCUAAUUGACGUUACCCGCAGAAGAAGCACCGGCUAACUCCGUGCCAGCAGCCGCGGUAAUACGGAGGGUGCAAGCGUUAAUCGGAAUUACUGGGCGUAAAGCGCACGCAGGCGGUUUGUUAAGUCAGAUGUGAAAUCCCCGGGCUCAACCUGGGAACUGCAUCUGAUACUGGCAGGCUUGAGUCUCGUAGAGGGGGGUAGAAUUCCAGGUGUAGCGGUGAAAUGCGUAGAGAUCUGGAGGAAUACCGGUGGCGAAGGCGGC
RNAcentral lists this ribosomal RNA (735 nucleotides) under Escherichia coli. RNAcentral describes it as "bacterial SSU rRNA". It matches the Rfam family "Bacterial small subunit ribosomal RNA", at positions 1 to 725 of the family's 1533-position model. The record is from RNAcentral. Lineage: Bacteria; Pseudomonadati; Pseudomonadota; Gammaproteobacteria; Enterobacterales; Enterobacteriaceae.